AUCAUGGCUCAGGAUGAACGCUAGCUACAGGCUUAACACAUGCAAGUCGAGGGGCAGCAUUUUUGGUUGCUUGCAACCAAUGAUGGCGACCGGCGCACGGGUGCGUAACGCGUAUCCAACCUUCCCGUUACUCAGGGAUAGCCUUCCGAAAGGGAGAUUAAUACCUGAUGGUGUUUGAAUUCCGCAUGUUAUUCAAACUAAAGAUUUAUCGGUAACGGAUGGGGAUGCGUGACAUUAGAUAGUAGGCGGGGUAACGGCCCACCUAGUCUACGAUGUCUAGGGGUUCUGAGAGGAAGGUCCCCCACACUGGAACUGAGACACGGUCCAGACUCCUACGGGAGGCAGCAGUGAGGAAUAUUGGUCAAUGGUCGGAAGACUGAACCAGCCAAGUAGCGUGAAGGAUGAAGGUUCUAUGGAUUGUAAACUUCUUUUAUACGGGAAUAAAACCUCCCACGUGUGGGAGCUUGUAUGUACCGUAUGAAUAAGCAUCGGCUAACUCCGUG
RNAcentral lists this ribosomal RNA (503 nucleotides) under uncultured bacterium. Its description in RNAcentral is "bacterial SSU rRNA". It matches the Rfam family "Bacterial small subunit ribosomal RNA", at positions 16 to 507 of the family's 1533-position model. The record is from RNAcentral.